GGCGCUUCUCAGGUGAUGCAACCUGGAAUCGAGCUCCCUCCUCUCUGGUUCCGGGUGCGUCACCCAAGAACCGCA
Non-coding RNA from Myotis brandtii (Brandt's bat), 75 nucleotides. The record is from Rfam. Lineage: Eukaryota; Metazoa; Chordata; Mammalia; Chiroptera; Vespertilionidae.